AAUACGUUGGCGUGAUCAACAUCUUGGUUUGGGAUAAUCUUUUCUUUCCUUGACCCAAAAAAUUGAGAUAUUGAUCUUUUCAGUUCUUAACUUGGGCAAUAGAUCUGGAAAUAUCUGAUUUUUGGGAGGUUCAGAUUUGGCCAAGUCAUAUUCUAUGGUCUGUUUUGGUCUCUUUAUAAAAUAUGCUUUCUUUUUUUGAGUAUUAGUAUAUCCUAAUUUAUGUUUGUGGGAAUAUUUCAAGGAGAUGGGAUCUGGGAUUGUAUUUUUAUGUUGUUUCAUUUCACGGAAAUUAAUCUUGUGCUGGUGUGUGGUUUGAUGUAGGAAGACUUUUUGAAAUAUUGAUCAGAGUGCCAAUCGGAAGAUGAUCUGAUACAUGCAUAAGCAGUUUCUAAGACCCUGGAGUCAGUGGGGUCAUGAAUGACCAUGGCAUACAUGUGUUGCAACUCUUUUCCUGAAUGAUAUAGUAAGUGGGGCUUCUCCUGUUGGUGUAACAUUUCUUCGAUUGUUUACAACAUCCAGUGAUGCAGGCCUGUUAACCAAUGCUUGAUGUUCUUUGAUGCUAAUAAUAAAGUUUAUCAGAUUGUCCCUGAAUCAGUGUCAUGCUUGUUUAGUAGAUAUGUAUGGUUGAGCUGGGCUCUUAGAGGAAGCAUAGGCUUUUAUUUUAGAAAUGCCUGUGGAAGCUUGUGGUUCUGUUUGGGCCUUUAGGGAGCAAAACUUGAUGCUUGCAGAAUUCAUGGGAACGAGAAGAUGGCUGAGAGAAGGACUGCUGAAUAAUGCAGGGGAGUGAGAAUUGGACCUGAUGCGCUGUUAUCCAAUGCUUUCGCUUAACGUGAAAGAUGCAAUGAUUCUUACAAGAAAUGAUGAAAUAUUAUGUAUGGGGUUGAAGACAGCCAGGUUGUAGCUGAUUGAGAUUGGUCCAUCGAUUAUACUUAUAUUUAGUACGAUCCCCAUGUUGCCAGUUGGAUAAUACCAAACACAUUAUGGUUUACUUGAGUAAAUAUGGUCUAACAGAAGAUAAACGAGUUUGAAAUGUAUGAGAUUGUUUGUCUGAAAGAUGGGAACUAGAAGAGGGGUUGAAGCUGCAGAUGAACAGUAAUCAAAACGGCCAAUAAGAGGGAACCAGAUCGGCUCAGGGUCAAGGCGAAGAAUCAAAGGCAGAAAUUUGCUAAUGCUGAGGAGAAUUUGAAGUUCGAAAGGGAAAAUGAAGGCUGAAACCCUCAGGCAUUGCAGAAAGGAAAUGAGCCACAUUGCCACAAGUUUGCUUUUUAUUGGAAGAACCUCAAUUCAGUUCUUGAUAGUGCUACAGGAGACUACGACAUCAGAGAAGCAUAAAAGACCAGUUGUGAAAACUUAUUCUUGCUAGUGAUUUCUUUUCCGCACGACAUCAUUAAGAGGUAUCAUUAAGCCACGGUGCGGAAGAAGACAAUAAAUAGGUGAAUCAGAUUCUCAUGGUGAUGGGAGCCUUUGUUCUUUCUUAUUUUAUUUUGAUGAACAUGGUGAUAAGAGCCUUGAUUCUGAUGAUGAAGCGAGCUCUCCAUGAGGCUUAAGAACACGUCAAAUAUUUGGAAUUGUUAAAGAAAAUAAAGCAUACAAGAUAAAUUUGAUCAAAACAUCACUUU
Molecule: long non-coding RNA, 1619 nt
Organism: Argentina anserina (silverweed cinquefoil)
Lineage: Eukaryota; Viridiplantae; Streptophyta; Magnoliopsida; Rosales; Rosaceae
Exons: 3
Source: RefSeq, a predicted model, not a curated record